Molecule: small RNA, 144 nt
Filed under: Sporomusa sphaeroides
Lineage: Bacteria; Bacillati; Bacillota; Negativicutes; Selenomonadales; Sporomusaceae
Also listed under: 1 other name
Description: Sporomusa sp. c-di-AMP sequence
Rfam family: c-di-AMP riboswitch aptamer (ydaO/yuaA leader)
About the family: This family represents a conserved RNA structure found upstream of the ydaO and yuaA genes in Bacillus subtilis and related genes in other bacteria.
Source: RNAcentral
UUAUGUAUAAUGCCGAAUCCUUAUAAGGUACGGGGGACCCAAUACACAUAUAGGGGUGAAUCCGCUACGCGGUAGGGCGUUCUUAACAUCUUCUCUUUGGCCCGAAUCCGACAGCUAACCCCGGAGGCUAACGUGUAAGGUUUU